RNAcentral lists this ribosomal RNA (777 nucleotides) under Acrossota amboinensis. RNAcentral describes it as "partial large subunit ribosomal RNA". It matches the Rfam family "Eukaryotic large subunit ribosomal RNA", at positions 402 to 966 of the family's 3401-position model. The record is from RNAcentral. Lineage: Eukaryota; Metazoa; Cnidaria; Anthozoa; Malacalcyonacea; Acrossotidae.
AAACCGUCGAAAGGGAAGCGAAUGGAGUUAGCAAUUCGCCCUGUCAGAUUCAGCCGCUCGUGCUUCGCGACGUGCGCGCUCUCGAUCCGCAUGGACGAGACGUGCACGGGCGCGACGUGCGGACGGCGCACUUCUGGCGGGUGAGCGUCAGCGUCGGUUGCCGCCGGGCGACAAGGUCGCGGGAAAGGUGAGCCGGUCCUCGGACCUGCCGUUACAGUCCCGCGUUCGCAUGGCCCGGAGGCGACCGUGGCUCUCGGAGGCGACGCGUGCUCGGCUGGCGACUCGAUCGAUCGGUCCGACAUGUCGACCGUGGCGGACGGCACGCCUGUGCGCUCGAACUGCUGUCGUCCGAUCGAGCGGUGUUCGCACACAACGCGUCGAAGGCGCUGACGGCCAUACGGCUCCAUCCGACCCGUCUUGAAACACGGACCAAGGAGUCUAACAUGUGCGCGAGUCUCCGGGUGAUCGAAACCCGUGGGCGCAAUGAAAGUAAAGGUCGUCUCGGACGACUGAGGUGAGAAGCGUGCGUGUCGCCCUCCCUUCGGGGCUGGGUGGCAUUGCGCCGCAUCAUCGACCGACCUCUUCUGCUCUCAGGAAGGUUUGAGUAAGAGCGCACCUGUUGGGACCCGAAAGAUGGUGAACUAUGCCUGAAUAGGGUGAAGCCAGCGGAAACACUGGUGGAGGCUCGUAGCGAUUCUGACGUGCAAAUCGAUCGUCGAAUUUGGGUAUAGCGGCGAAAGACUAAUCGAACCAUCUAGUAGCUGGUUCCCUCCGAAG